GCCCAGCCUUGUAUGAGCCCCUUGUUUGCAUAUAGUGUGUGUGCUUGCUCUCUUGUGCUUGUGUUUGCUUGAUUGAUGUUUAGGCUAGCUUGCUUCCUGUGCGAGUUAGGAUUAGAGACCUCAACAUAGGGAUCGCAUGCAUGACAACUUCUAGGCUCGAGUCGUAGUCUCCCUAGUAGCCUGUUAUCUCCCUUGUCUCUCGUUAGGAUAUAAGUUCUUUUCCUGUUAAGAGGAACUACGUCGCC
RNAcentral lists this long non-coding RNA (245 nucleotides) under Lathyrus oleraceus (garden pea). RNAcentral describes it as "Pisum sativum (pea) long non-coding RNA (PSAT_LNC005987)". Lineage: Eukaryota; Viridiplantae; Streptophyta; Magnoliopsida; Fabales; Fabaceae. The record is from RNAcentral.